Molecule: long non-coding RNA, 5256 nt
Organism: Aethalodelphis obliquidens (Pacific white-sided dolphin)
Lineage: Eukaryota; Metazoa; Chordata; Mammalia; Artiodactyla; Delphinidae
Exons: 6
Source: RefSeq, a predicted model, not a curated record
GUGAAUCUCCGCUGUACUGGGAACUGGCGCUUUCCUCACAUAACUCUGCAAGGCAGGUAUUACUAUCUCCAUUUAACAGAGUAGCAGCAAAGGCCCAGAGAGGUUCAUUGCUUGAUUAGGGUCACACAGGUAGUAGCGAUAGGAGGCUGAGUCUUUAUCCCUUCUACCCUGUUGCCUGCUUUUAGGUGUGCUUCACACCCACGUGUGCAGACAUUCAUGGAGCCAGGAUAAAAUGUCAUGCCAAUGGUCUCCAUCUUUGGAGUCACUAAUCAUUUUAGCCUAUUUAACCAACACCAGAUUCUGGAAUUUAAUAAAUAAUGCUACACCAUCCAUAAAUGUCGAAAGAGCCCAACUGUGAUUUGCGCCUUAUGUGAAUACUGCAUUGUAACUGAGCCAGGAGAAGCCGUUGAACUAGCCUUCUAAGUGACAGCAUCUUAAAAGAGAUUUCUCAUCGGACAGUUUGGUGUGGAGGGUGGUCAGAUGCUUUCUUAUUAGAACAAUGCCCCCAUAGAUUUCAAAUGAAAUUCUGGGGCUCCUCAAGAUUUGUUUAAAGAGAAAGAGGGGGUCAGCAGGACAUUAAUGUAGAAAGGGAAGAAAAAGCUUCUACUUGGUCACCUCGAGUUAGAAAAUUUCCAUUUCAACAUUGUCAAUCCCUCACCUCUCACGUGUAUAAAUUCACUACCAAAGGCCAAAGUAUUCUCUUUCUUUUCUUUCCUUUUUUUUUUCUCUCUUGCCACAAAACCAGCUCUUAUUUAGGUCUCUUGCAAAGCGGCACAAACCAACUGUUCCUCCUCAGAUUAUCCCUUUCAGGGCUCAGGUGAUAUGCCUCCUUGGGUUAUACCUUCCCUGUUUUGUGGUCUGAUGUGUGCUGUGUCAUUCUAUAAUAUUCCACUUUGCAAGAAAAUAUUUAUGUAUGAGUCUCAUUAGGUCCCAUUUCCUCUGGGAAUGGUCCUGCGUGCAGUGUUUUCAUGCCAGCGGCAGGCAGUGAAUCGCUGGUCUUCAUGGGACAACUGGACAGCUGGCAGGAAACCAGGAAACUUCUCCUUCCCUUCUGUGACUUCGCUCAGCCAGAAAACUACAAGGUGUGUGACUGUAGGAUGAAAAGUUCCUGAGAGGUUGAAUAUAACACUUUGAGAAAACACUUGGACGGAAACUUGUUGAUGUUGAAGGAAUGGAAAUGUGUACCAUUCAAAGAAUGUUUUUUUCCUAGAUCUGGAAACACAAUGGCUUACGUAUACAGAGUCUUUUCAUUAUUUUAAUUUUUUUUCUUUUUAUUACUGGUAAAUAGGAAUUCCCAUUAUUCACCAAAGAGCAGCGAAACUGACACUCUGUAUAGCUGAGAUGAGGGUACGUUGGCAAAACCCUUUUGGAAACUCAUUUGACCAUGUGUAUCAAGAGCCAUGAGAUUUUUUUAUAACCCAUGACCAAUUAAUUUUUACUUCUAGGAAUCCAUUCUCAGUACCAAAAAGAUUAUGCUCGAAAAUGUUCAUCAAACUCUUGCUUAUAAUAGUUAGAACAGGAAAUGGAAGUAUAAAAUAUUUUCUUGAUAUUCAUUGUUAUGCAGCUGCUGUAAUAAUAUUGAAAUAGGAUAUGCACUCUUAAUGAUUACAAAUACACAGGCAAAAUAUGCAGAAUUAUAAUAAUAGAUAAAAUUUAUUCUCUGCUUAAUAUAUAAAAGGCAAUGUGUCAAAUGCUUUAUAGUCAUGUCUCCUUUAAUCUGCUCACCAGAUUAAGCCAAAUUUAUUAUAUCUCCAUUUUACAGAUGAGGAAAGAGAGUCACAGGAAUUGGUUUAUCUAGAGUAACACUGCUAGGGUGAAAUUUGAACCCCAUCCUGGUUGAUGACAGACCUUACACAACAUGCAAUUCCUCAUGCUAUGUGGUUAAUUUUGAGUAAAAAAAAAACAAUCAUCAACCACAAAAGAAGAAAGAAAGAAAGAAAAAAGCACCCCAAACUAAAGGCAACCCAACACCAAUAAACAAACAUCUGACAAGCUCUAUUCUUAUGAUAAUCACAUGAAAAAGUAAAUAGGAAAGCUUAAACCAAGAGAAAACAGCCAAACUUGAAAAGACUCAUCUUCCACCAGUUAAUAAAAUGACAGGUAGCUAUCUGAAACAACACUUAAAUGUUUAAGGUCUUUCCUCUGGAUGGGAAUUAGAUCCUACAUUUUUUUUUUUUUUUAACAUCUUUGUUGGAGUAUAAUUGCUUUACAAUGGUGUGUUAGUUUCUGCUGUAUAACAAAGUGAAUCAGCUAUUCCUAUACAUAUAUCCCCAUAUCCCCUUGACAUGUCUGAUCUUUUACUAAGAGAAUCUAAGUAAUAUUAUUCUGCCAACUUAAAGAAGCAAAUCUUAAUGAGAGCAAUUCUUGUAUGCAGAUGGAAAAGACUCUGUCCAGGGUGAAUUGAGAAUUUUCUGGUGGACUGGGUCCUAGACCAGUGGUUCUUAACUUACUUUGUGUGAGAACAUAUUUGAAAAUACUAAUGAUAACUAUGGUCUGUCUCUGUUUUUCUCUCUCCAGUCAUUUCUCAGUAUCCAUCUGGGAUUGCUUCCUGGACCUCCGAGGACACCAAAAUCCACAGAUGCUCAAGUCCCUUGUAUAAAUGAUGUAGUACAAUUGGCCUUCCCUAGUGGCAGGUUCCGAAUCCACAGAUUCAUCCAACUGCGGAUCAAAUUUUGGUUGGGUGAACAUUCAGAUGUGGAAUCCGCAGUUAACAAGAACCCAUCGUAUUAAUAUUUAUACAACAUUUUAUUGCAUAUCUAUCUACUUUUAUUCUACUUUGAAAUCUUUUGGGUUCAUUGAUGGUUUGAGGACUUAAAUUAAAAUUCCCUUUUAUGUUUUGGCUUUCAUAGUGUUCUUUGUCCCACAAUUUGGGGGGAUAUUCUUUCCUAAAUCGUUCAAACACUGAUACAGUUUCCUCAGAGUCUUAUCUACACUUGGAUAACUAAGGUUUGUAAAGUAAGUUAGUAUAAUGAAUAAUUUAGUUUUCAUGUUUUCUUCAAUAUGUUCACAUGUUAUUAUGGCCACUUGUAUUCCGAUGUGUGGCUAACAACUGCCUUUUUGGUUUUCCGUGUUAGGAUGAAGAAAAAAAAGGAGGAUAUGCAUCACUAAGAAUCAAAGGAAGUGCCUGACUCUAUAACAAAGAGAAAAGCUUCAAAAUGAUUGUACAACACGAAGACAGAAAUAACCAUGUUAAGAGGUCAUCGGUCUGACUUCUCCAGAAACUUCCCCUGGGCAGCGGUCUCUACCUCUGUUACAGAAGACUGCAAAAAUACCAGCCAUUGUGCAUCUGGCCAAUUAUGCAAUGUUCUAUCACGGGGGGAAAUUCCUUCCUCACUCCAGCUGGUAACUCCAUGGAGCUGUCAGGCGUUUUACACCUUAAUGUGAAGACAUAUGGGUGCAUGGGUCCCUGCCCUCACCCGGACUGGCCCCCAGGGAAAGUGAGGCUCCAGAUGCAGCUGCUGCCUGCGGACCCCCUGUACUGCCUGGGGAAGUGGGUCAGGACUCCUGCAGCGGAUGGGUGGGGCAGCUGCAAGAUGAUCUGAAGGUGGCCCAAACAACAGUGCUUUCCAGAUGUGGGUGAGGCUAUAGCCAAGAUCAUCACUGGGUUAAUCUGCCUAACUGAAGACUUUUACUGAAGAAAGUUUAGCUAACAACAUACAAGUAUUCAUGUCUCAAGGACCCAGAGAAAGAUAAAUUUUAAUUUUUUUCAGAUUUUAAAUACUUCUUCUCAAGAGGCGCAGCCCGUCUUUCUCUCCUGUAGAAGUGAAGGAAGCACCAGUUACCCUUCUGAUUUUAAUCAGAAAAUAUAAAUGUAAAAUAUGAAUUCGAUAAAAAUGUAAGCUUGGCUUUUACUAUUUCCUGAACAUGUGCUCAUUAUCUUUUAAUAAAUAAAGUGUACUUUAAGGGUGAUAAGAAGAAGGAGAACUUUAAAAAUUGUUAAUGAAUGUGGUGAACAUAGGUAGUGAAGCAAAGGCGUAGUUUAAGAUAAAUCCCAGUAAUACCAGGAAGAAAAUACAGUCAGUGGUUAAGGAAUCUACGUUUGUGGUUGUUUUAAAGGUGGCUGAGUGUGCCGUACUCUGCAGAAGUGACUAGAAGGGGACAGAGGACUGUGACAUGGGUCACUUUUGUUUCUCUUUGUGCUCCAAGCUUAGAAGGUUGAUUUUGCCUUCAACAUAUUGGAAUAGUGGUUCUUGAUUCAUCCUAAUGAUUAGAAGAAUUUUAAUGUAUUUUUCUGUAUAUCCAAACACUAAAAAAACAAUAUUAGACAGCUAGUCCUUGCCACCCAGAUGUUCAGAGUUCAAAGCAAAUAACAACAUGACAGGCCAGAGGCAACUGAGCCAUCUAUCAAACAAAUGCAUGGCCUGAUGAGACAGCAGAUUAAAAGGCUUAACUGAGGCUAGUUUCAGCUGGUGGAGAUAAGUGCCCAACUGUGUUUUCCACCAAAAUGCAGUUUUUUCUAUUGUUUUUGAUACUAUAAAAGCAAUGUAUACUCAUUAUAGAGAAAAAUUAGAGUAUACAAAGCAAAACUAAGAGCACCCCCAAAAUGAAUUUUCCCUUUCAUCACAAAUCAGCCAUUGUGAUUGCACUGCUAUAUAUUCUUGUAAGUAAAUAAAAUUGCAUCUUAUUCUACAUAAUAUGUUGUAACCAGCUUUUUCCAUUUAAUGUAGCAUCAAAUACAUCCUUAUCACUAGACUUAUUUCCUUAGAAUCAUUUUUAUGGCUUCAAGUUAUUCCAUUUCUGGAUUUGCUAAUGCAUAUUUAAACAAUUUGCAUUUAUGACACGAUCUGGUGGUUUCUAACUUUUCUCUAUUUGAAGAUAUUGCUUUAAAAUAUGUAGAGUAAGAUGUUGAUUGGUGUAAUCAUCUCAAAGGUUUAUGUGCUAGAAUAAGAAACUAUUGUUUGUCAAGAAAGCAUAUUACAUGCUGCAAAUCAGUUCAUCACCUUAAAAAAAUUAAAACAUAUGGAAAACUGAGAAUAAGAUAUAAACAUCAAGUUAGCUUGACUCUUUAUUUUAAAAAUUUGGAUGUUAUGUUUUAUAAACAAACCAGUCCAGUGUUUGAGAGUGAUGGUAAAAAAGUUUGGAAGGCGAGGUGGAGAUUUUAAGGAUAUUAGGAUAAGAGUGGGCUUUACGUGUACAUAUAUCCCCUUUUUUGGAUGUCCUUCUCAUUUAAGUCACCACAAAGCCUUGAGUAGAGUUCCCUGUGCUAUACAGUAAGUUCUUAUUAGUUAUCUAUUUUAUACAUAGUAUCAAUAGUGU